Humulus lupulus (European hop) is the source of this 819-nucleotide long non-coding RNA. RefSeq lists it as uncharacterized. The transcript is spliced from 5 exons. The record is from RefSeq and is a predicted model, not a curated record. NCBI's taxonomy places the organism in Eukaryota, Viridiplantae, Streptophyta, Magnoliopsida, Rosales, Cannabaceae.
AACAAUUUUUAGUAUAUAUUACAUUAAAAAAUAACAUAUAUUGAGAAGUGCUAUUAAUGGUGGGUGAUAAAAACACACGGAAUGUUUUAUUUUGGCGCCAUAUGAAAAAACCUCAGGCGCCAAAUGAAAAUUUCUUUUUUGGUCUCAUCUGCCAAAUUUUAAUCCCUAAGUUACCCAAAAAAAUUUCUCUCAGCCUCCAUCUCUCACUCUCGUCUCGUCUCUCCGCCUCUCGUCUCGUCUCUCCGCCUCACGAAGUCUCCAUCUCUCACUCUUGUCUCGUCUCUCCGCCUCACGAAGUCUUCUCAACUCAUCUCUGCCUAAUGAAGACACGCUCCAGAGUGGAGCUCUUUCUCCGCCUCGCGAAGUCACGCUCCAGAGUGGAGCUUCUCUGCCUCACGAAGUCACGCUCCAUAGUGGAGCUCUUUCUCUGAUUGGGUGUUGCUGCGAAGGAGAUGAGAGGUUACUCGUGGCUGAGUUUAUGCCCCAUGAAACUCUCGCUAAGCAUCUUUUUCACUUGUUGGUCCUGAGGAUGCUGCAGUUGUUGGUAAUCAACUGUCAGAAGAAGAGAAAACUACUCUUUAGACUCAACUGAGAGGAUACGAAGCAACACUGAGCAAUUCCCCAAGAGAUCCAACUGCUCUUGAGGGAGCUGCUGUAACCUUGGCUGAGUUAGGAGAAUAUACCCGAGUGGUCUCUUUGCUUGAGAACUUGACAAAGGAGAAGCCAAGUGACCCUGAUGUUUUUUGUUUGCUUGGAGAAGUUAAGUAUAAAAUAAAGGAUUAUGAGGGAAGCGCUAACGCAUAUGAAAGUGCUGCAAAG